Molecule: long non-coding RNA, 715 nt
Filed under: Calidris pugnax (ruff)
Lineage: Eukaryota; Metazoa; Chordata; Aves; Charadriiformes; Scolopacidae
Description: lncRNA (ENSCPUG00000010956.1)
Source: RNAcentral
UCUACUUUAAAAGUCAACUCUGAAAAUGAGAAGCAUUUCCUCUUAUUUCCACAAGUUUAUUGUGUGUGAAUCCCUAGAAGAAUUUGGCAAUAAUAAUAAAAAUAAGGAACGAUGAUGCACCACCAAAUGUAUUUACUGCAGUAUCAGUGGUGCUAAAGAUGUGCUUGGAAACCUAUGUAAAUCACUGAAUAACUUUUUCCCAAACCACAGCUGGCUGAGAGAAUUUUAUUAAAACACAAUUUCGUCUAAACAUGCUAUUUUAUCAGAAUUGACACGUCCAGCAGAACAACGCUUGCUCCAGUGAAGGGCUGCUCUGAGGAAUGUUCUGGUCGACACAAGAGAGAGCACGAUCGAAGAUGUGAAAACACGUGAAAAUCGUUAAACGCCGUUGUUUAUUGGAGCUGACAGGAGAAACACAAGCAGUUGUCGGUUGCUUCUGCGAGAGUGGUGUCUACCAGCGGUGGAAUGAACAUGACGGAGCCGAUCUGCCGGCAGCGCUCCCGGAUCGAGCCACCGCCACCGUCCCAGGCAGGAGGGACAAGCUGGUGGAGGGGACAUGCUGCCAUGGGAGGAGACGGCUUCUGCAGGAGGCGGUGGUGAAAGGUGCUGGAUUGACAAGCCGUGGAGACGGAAGGGCCUCUGGACUCCGCUGAAGUUUACAUUUACAAAGGACACAGAGAAUAAAUAGAAGACAGUGUUUAGAGUCCUCUGUAGA